This 107-nucleotide small nuclear RNA is filed under the name Chinchilla lanigera (long-tailed chinchilla). Lineage: Eukaryota; Metazoa; Chordata; Mammalia; Rodentia; Chinchillidae. The record is from RNAcentral.
GUGCUUGCCUCGGCAGCACGUAUACUAAAAUUGGAACGAUACAGAGAAGAUUAGCAUGGCCCCUAUGCAAGGAUGAAAUGCAAGUUCAUGAAGCAUUCCACAUUUUU